This 2258-nucleotide long non-coding RNA is filed under the name Mytilus galloprovincialis (Mediterranean mussel). Lineage: Eukaryota; Metazoa; Mollusca; Bivalvia; Mytilida; Mytilidae. The record is from RNAcentral.
CCGUUAUUCAAUUUAUUUUUAAUAUUCACACUAUAUAGAUUAAUCUAUAUAUGAGUGUUUUGUGGACGAACAAAAUUAAAAUCCUGGUACAUGUAUCUAUGAUGAUUCGUUUGGGAAUCAAUUAUUUAACAUAAUUUCAAUAGACAGGAAUUUUAAAUUACACUCCUCCAUUCAAAUUUAUUUACGUAAACAUUGCAGCAAGUGCGACAGGAAAUAUCCAUUCAUGAACACAAAUUCAUGGAUCUGCAUUGUUAUUAUAUCUUCGAUGUAAUCAAAAUUAAUUCAGCAUCAAAAACAAAUAGGAUUUUCCUUUUUCAAUUUUCACAUUUUGCAAGUCUCUUGGGUUUGUUGGGGGGUUUUGUGCAGUUAAGCGGAUUUAAACAAAUUUUACACAUUUACGAGUAUUAUUUCCAUUAUAUUGGGCAACUCAAAUUCUUUAUUUUCUCUUAUCACCAGCAGUCUAGUAAACGUGUACAAAUGAAUAUAAAAAUCUACCGAAGAUAGGGCAUCAAAGUCAUAAUCUUUACUGUUAAAAGAAAACAAAUCCCAGGAAUAAAUGAAAAUGUAACAACUUUUAUUAUUGAACAUGAACAUAUAUAUAUCAACAUCAAAAUUAUAAACAAAAUGGAAUUCUUACAAAAUUGUAUGAAGAUAUGUGACUAUAUACAUUAGAUUCACUUUACAAAUGCAUGGUCUCUCAAACAUUUAUAUCUUUUUUGUAUAAGAGAACACUUGAAAUUCCAAAAUACCAAAAUUAGAACUUUCAAAUGUAGAAAAAUACAAAAGCAUUUUGUAUUUAGUGCAAAACAUUUAAUCUUCGAUACAAUAAAACAAAUAACCAAAACCGAACUGAAUUCAUAUUGUUUCUAUGAAAGCAUUCAUGCAUUUAAUACAGAAUGUAUUUGGUCUUACAUUAUGUAUGCUAUUUACAAAACUAUGCAUGUUUAUGCAUGGCAAUAUAAAGCAAGAAAGAUAUCAAGAUAAUAAAUGGUAAGUAAGAAGAAUGCCGCUUAAAGUUCUCUAUCCUCGUAAGACUGUUUCAAAUAAAAAACUAAUGAAACAAUACAACAUGAUUAAAAAUAAACAUAUGAAUGCUACAAGAUAUAAAUCAUAAGCUUUUAAUGCUUAAAUGAAACAUUUUGAUUUCGUAGAUUCUGUCAAGUGUUUAUUAUCAGAGGGUGAACACUAGUCAUGGGUUUUCCUUGUUUACCUAAUUGCCAAUUCAAAGGCAUAUCAUAUCAUGAUUUGUUCCUACCAUUAUAAAUAUCAACAUUUCAAAAUCAAACUGUUUGAUACCCUUAUUUAAAAUUAAUUAGAAGUUUUACAUUGCAUAGACCUGCUAUAAUGCUGGCAUAUUUGAUUAAUUUUCAUUACCUUGUAUAAUGAGGUAUUACAAAACCACAAUCUCACUUUUCAAUUCAUUAAGCUCUCUUUUUUAAUUUUUAUUAUAAAAGCAUUAAAUAAGGAGCUCCAAAAAUACAUGUAUGUAUAAGCAGUUCAUUGAUAUGUUAAAAAAAUAGAAUUAUAAUCUAAAUAUUAUGCAUUUUGACAAACGCUUAAAUUUAAGCAUUUAUAAAAUAACAAAAAUAACAAAAUGUAAUCUCACUGUAGAGUUGUUAAUAUCCAAUGCAUAUACAUAUAUUGCACGAAAACCCCAAAAUUAACUCUGGGAAAAUCGAGCAGCCAAAAAUUCCUUGAAAUGUCACUUUUACAUCAAAUAUAUUCACUAUUGCACAUAUGUCUUUGUUGCACAAUUUUGGUCAGCUGCAGUCCAAUUUUUUUCAAAACCAAAAGGCUUUAUAUCAGGAAAGACAGUACAUUUGAUACCCGGGUAUUGGAUGAUAUUAAAAUGAUUAUGAAUAAGGAGUAUGUAAGUCUUGUCAACAGACAAUACUUCCUAUUUUGACAUUAGAUGUCGGUUAAAGUAUUAGGUGAUCAGAAAGAUUUUUUCCCCCAUAUGUUUGCAUUUUCUUCAGUCGCUGUAAGAAAUGGUAAUUUAUUUUUCAAGCAGUGCGAAUGAAACUCUACCAGAAGAUAUUAUUUACUUAUAAACAGAAAUAAGUUAUAAAACAAUGGAGCGCAAUGCCAACAACAGAAAAAUAAUUAGAUAAUAUAUAACCCUUAAUCUGAAGUGAAAAUAGACAAUGAACAAAAAAUGCUAAACGCAAACCCGGACAAAAAUCGAUAAAUACAUUAAUAUACAUAUACAAUUAUUUUACACAAGCAAGCACUAUAUCAUCAUGAAAAGAAAUGGCAAA